GGGACAACAGUUGGAAACGACUGCUAAUACCGCAUAAGCCCACGGGUCGGCAUCGACCAGAGGGAAAAGGAGCAAUCCGCUUUGAGAUGGCCUCGCGUCCGAUUAGCUAGUUGGUGAGGUAAUGGCCCACCAAGGCGACGAUCGGUAGCUGGACUGAGAGGUUGAACGGCCACAUUGGGACUGAGACACGGCCCAGACUCCUACGGGAGGCAGCAGUGGGGAAUAUUGCACAAUGGGGGAAACCCUGAUGCAGCGACGCCGCGUGGAGGAAGAAGGUCUUCGGAUUGUAAACUCCUGUUGUUGAGGAAGAUAAUGACGGUACUCAACAAGGAAGUGACGGCUAACUACGUGCCAGCAGCCGCGGUAAAACGUAGGUCACAAGCGUUGUCCGGAAUUACUGGGUGUAAAGGGAGCGCAGGCGGGAAGACAAGUUGGAAGUGAAAUCUAUGGGCUCAACCCAUAAACUGCUUUCAAAACUGUUUUUCUUGAGUAGUGCAGAGGUAGGCGGAAUUCCCGGUGUAGCGGUGGAAUGCGUAGAUAUCGGGAGGAACACCAGUGGCGAAGGCGGCCUACUGGGCACCAACUGACGCUGAGGCUCGAAAGUGUGGGUAGCAAACAGGAUUAGAUACCCUGGUAGUCCACACCGUAAACGAUGAUUACUAGGUGUUGGAGGAUUGACCCCUUCAGUGCCGCAG
RNAcentral lists this ribosomal RNA (695 nucleotides) under uncultured bacterium. RNAcentral's name for it is "bacterial SSU rRNA". It matches the Rfam family "Bacterial small subunit ribosomal RNA", at positions 140 to 851 of the family's 1533-position model. The record is from RNAcentral.